Carassius carassius (crucian carp) is the source of this 261-nucleotide long non-coding RNA. RefSeq lists it as uncharacterized. The record is from RefSeq and is a predicted model, not a curated record. NCBI's taxonomy places the organism in Eukaryota, Metazoa, Chordata, Actinopteri, Cypriniformes, Cyprinidae. The transcript is spliced from 2 exons.
CUAGUGACAAUUAACGGUCAUCCGGUGAUUUCCUCAUACACGGCCUUGAGUUUUCGCUUUUGUUUGGUCAAAAAGGUAUUUAUUCUUUUAUAUUAUUAGACAUUAUAGCUACCGUUAGAAGACAAUGGGAAGAAAUGCCAUCGACUAACCACAGCUCACAACCAGAGACACGCGGACAUACCAUCCACCAACACACACACAAAAUGAGCACUACAAAUUUACAAUUGUUCAAUUAAAAUAAACGUAUUUUACUUCAUACAA